This 468-nucleotide ribosomal RNA is filed under the name uncultured bacterium. Its description in RNAcentral is "partial 16S ribosomal RNA". It matches the Rfam family "Bacterial small subunit ribosomal RNA", at positions 28 to 507 of the family's 1533-position model. The record is from RNAcentral.
GACGAACGCUGGCGGCGUGCUUAACACAUGCAAGUCGAACGGAAAGGCCCUGCUUUUGUGGGGUGCUCGAGUGGCGAACGGGUGAGUAACACGUGAGUAACCUGCCCUUUACUUUGGGAUAACUUCAGGAAACUGGGGCUAAUACCGGAUAGGAGCUCCUGCUGCAUGGUGUGGUUUGGAAAGUUUCGGCGGUUGGGGAUGGACUCGCGGCUUAUCAGCUUGUUGGUGGGGUAGUGGCUUACCAAGGCUUUGACGGGUAGCCGGCCUGAGAGGGUGACCGGCAACAUUGGGACGGAGAUACGGCCCAGACUAAUACGGGAGGCAGCAGUGGGGAAUAUUGCACAAUGGGCGGAAGCCUGAAGCAGCAACGCCGCGUGCGGGAUGACGGCCUUAGGGUUGUAAACCGCUUUCGCCUGGGAAGAAGCGUGAGUGACGGUAAUGGGUAAAGAAGCACCGGCUAAAUACGUG